Molecule: non-coding RNA, 30 nt
Filed under: Gallus gallus (chicken)
Lineage: Eukaryota; Metazoa; Chordata; Aves; Galliformes; Phasianidae
Also listed under: 4 other names
Source: RNAcentral
UUCGUACGUAGCAGAGCAGCUCCCUCGCUG